UACGUAGGGUGCAGGCGUUAAUCGGAAUUACUGGGCGUAAAGCGUGCGCAGGCGGUCUUUUAAGUCAGAUGUGAAAUCCCCGGGCUUAACCUGGGAACUGCGCUUGAAACUGGAAGGCUAGAGUGUGGCAGAGGGGGGUGGAAUUCCACGUGUAGCAGUGAAAUGCGUAGAGAUGUGGAGGAACACCGAUGGCGAAGGCAGCCCCCUGGGCUAACACUGACGCUCAUGCACGAAAGCGUGGGGAGCAAACAGG
RNAcentral lists this ribosomal RNA (253 nucleotides) under uncultured bacterium. RNAcentral's name for it is "partial 16S ribosomal RNA". It matches the Rfam family "Bacterial small subunit ribosomal RNA", at positions 524 to 776 of the family's 1533-position model. The record is from RNAcentral.